AGGACGAACGCUGGCGGCGUGCUUAACACAUGCAAGUCGAGCGAGGCCCGUCCUUCGGGACGGUGCCCUAGCGGCGAACGGGUGAGUAACACGUGGGCAACCUGCCCCUAGCACUGGGAUAACUCCGGGAAACCGGGGCUAAUACCGGAUAUGACCUUUGAGGGCAUCCUCGAAGGUGUAAAGGACUCUGGCUAGGGAUGGGCCCGCGGCCUAUCAGCUUGUUGGUGGGGUAACGGCCUACCAAGGCGACGACGGGUAGCCGGCCUGAGAGGGCGACCGGCCACACUGGGACUGAGACACGGCCCAGACUCCUACGGGAGGCAGCAGUGGGGAAUAUUGCACAAUGGGCGAAAGCCUGAUGCAGCGACGCCGCGUGAGGGAUGACGGCCUUCGGGUUGUAAACCUCUUUCAGCAGGACGAAGCGAAGUGACGGUACCUGCAGAAGAAGCACCGGCCAACUACGUGCCAGCAGCCGC
RNAcentral lists this ribosomal RNA (476 nucleotides) under uncultured bacterium. RNAcentral's name for it is "SSU rRNA". It matches the Rfam family "Bacterial small subunit ribosomal RNA", at positions 26 to 518 of the family's 1533-position model. The record is from RNAcentral.